GGCGGUGUAGCUCAGCCUGGUUAGAGCGCUACAAUAAUCGUGGCGAGGCUCAUAUGUUUGAGCGAUGACCGAAAGGGAUGAUUGACUCAAAAUCUAACUGGGUUACGUAGGCGUCGCGUGUUCAAAUCACGCCACCGCCA
RNAcentral lists this transfer RNA (140 nucleotides) under Candidatus Woesearchaeota archaeon. Its description in RNAcentral is "tRNA-OTHER". It matches the Rfam family "tRNA". From Rfam's summary of the family: Transfer RNA (tRNA) molecules are approximately 80 nucleotides in length. Their secondary structure includes four short double-helical elements and three loops (D, anti-codon, and T loops). Lineage: Archaea; Nanobdellati; Candidatus Woesearchaeota. The record is from RNAcentral.